Molecule: non-coding RNA, 53 nt
Filed under: unclassified sequences
Description: chromate-resist RNA
Rfam family: chrB-b RNA
Source: RNAcentral
CCGGGUCUGACGCAGGCACCCGGUCACAAAGACGAUUCCGUCUCAAGCGCUGC